This is a long non-coding RNA of Vespula pensylvanica (western yellowjacket), 2459 nucleotides long. RefSeq lists it as uncharacterized. The record is from RefSeq and is a predicted model, not a curated record. Lineage: Eukaryota; Metazoa; Arthropoda; Insecta; Hymenoptera; Vespidae. The transcript has 2 exons.
UUAUUUUGAGAUAGUUUAAAAUGAAAUUUCUUGUUUUUAUUUUUGACCGUGCAUUUGAAUUUUUUAAUAUCUUCAUACGAAGCGCGACCCAGAUUCAUAGAAACAAGUCGACGGAAGUUCAUUGUUUCGAUUGUUCACUGCAGAGAGUCGUAGUCGUUAGAAGCAAGAUCCCUUGAUACUCGGUCGAGUUGAAGCUUUAGUUUUUGAAAGAUUAAGAGAGGUACUUCUAAUGGUACUUUUCUUAAGCAUAUUUAGUAAGACGAUAUGAACGUCUUCAAACACUGACUUUAGAUUGCGCUCUCGUCGUCUAUAUAAAUUAUAGAAAGGAUUUCUCGUUGAAGGAACCUUUAGUUUACUGACGUUUCAAGUAAUUUAACGAAAUUUCCUGUAUUUCGUUUGACAUCAAUAUCAUCUUCUAUUCUCGAGAAACUAUGAUAUUACUUACGGUAGAUAGAUAUCAUUUCCUUCCUGAAUUAUAGACGAAGUAAAAGUCAUACGGUACUAAUAAAUAUCAUCUAUGACGUUCGUGGGUGUUUCAAAUUUCGAUGGACGAGGUAAACUUCUCCCUUUGUCUACAUUGACGUCAAUGCGAAUUAAGUUUCUUAAGUGAUGCGUUAGAACAAAGUUUGUGGUAUAUUCAAUUACAAAAUAUCCGUUGUGGUUGAAUGAUUUUAGUUGGUAAUCAAACUCGCUAAAAUGUCAACUAAGUUUCCUUCGUAGAUACGUCGCAGAAAAUCGAAUAUUGAACUUGACCGAGCAAUUAGCAUAUCUAUUCAUUUUUUAGUGCUUAGACAUGGAAACAAAAGUAAUCGUCGAACUUUCGUGUCUUUUUUUUUCUUUUUCUUUUUCUUUUCCUUUUCUCGAUCGUUACAACUUUCCUAGCUUUAUUUCCAACAUGACGAGAGCGUCAAGGGAAUUAACGAUGUCCUUCGAAGGAGAGCCACUUUCCUUUAAUUUUAACUUUGGUCUUCCUCGCUAAAUCGUUCUCGCCCAGAUACUCUUUGAAAAAUCGUUGGUAGCUCGUUGGUAACAGCGUGAACGAGGCUUGCCAGUGCAAAUUAACUCUUCUCUCGAAGGCCUCUUAGAAUGGAAAAGACGGUGUUGAAGUGCUGGUAGGCGUUCUUACGGCCUGUUGUUUCAUUUAAUUUGCGAAACCUCAUUAUCGUGAGCAUAAUUUAAUAGCAUGCGGAAACUCAUUGAAGACACGAUCACGCGUCACUGUCGCUUUUCUUUUACCGCUUCUCUUGGGAGGGAUUAAGCAAGGGAAGAAAAUAGGAGAAGGAAAGUUAGAAAAGUCGUAGCGUGGGGAAGAGCUCGAAUAAAUUUAUUCCAUGAUCCCGAUGAAAAAGUGCAGAAAAAAAGUUCUUGGAAUCGAAGAACUUUGAUGUUUAUGUAUGUACAUAUUUCUUUUGAAAUUUAUUUACAUGAGUCAUCGGGUAUGUCACGUAUCAUGUAUUGACGCGAUAAACAUUGAAGACUAGGUCGAACGUAUUUGUGUAUAUACAUAGAUACGUCUUACUUAGUUAAAUCGACCUUGCUUUUACGUUACAAUUCAGUCUGUCUUUGGAUCGCCGGGAGUGAUGAAGUGAAGCAUUUCUGUUCUAUCGCAAAAGUCGUCACAUAUUUGAACUUUUACGGGAAGAAGAAAUUUGUAACGGAAGCAAAAUCGUUUCCAUUAAAGUGGAUGCCGUCGUAAGCGCUGUAAGCGAAGUACCAUUUCAAAUCGACGAAGCGAAAGUAGCGCGUAAGCCUUUAGAAAAUUUCUGUUACUAACAUUGCCGGGAAGAUCCGGAAAGGUUUCUCAACUAAAAGGAUUCUUCUAUAUAUGAUUCAUUUUUCAGUUGAUCAAACAAAAAAUAAUCCUAAAGUGAUGUUCAUUCUACGAGCAGUAUGAAGAGAAAGAGAGAAAGAACGAGAAAAAGAGAAACAGAGAGACAGAAAUAGAGAUAAAGAGAGAAUAAAUAUAGUAUACUAUAGUAGUUCUUGGUCAGCGCAAAUAAGAACACGACCUACUAAUUUUCAUGGACGUAUAUAACAGCAAUACCGUUAUUUCCCCUAAAAUUACGUUAGUAUUAUAUUUUAAGAAUUUAAAUUGCGUGUUAUAUUUCAUAGAUUAUUAUUACGUAGAUGAACUUAAGUAAAGAAAAUCAAUUUUCGUUAAUACAUGAUAUUAUUUAACAAAUGUUCAAGCUUUCGGUACACUAUAAAUAGUAUCGAUGAUUGUAACCGAGACUAAUACUACUAUAAAACAUGCGUUUAUACGAUAUAUAUAUAUAUAUAUAUAUAUAUAUAUAUAUAUUUGUUAGAACUCGAAACGUGACUAAAUGAAAAUUUGGGAAAAGGAGCUCAAUUUAAAAUUGGAACGUGCCCGAAAGCGUAAACUUUUUCCUACGACAAACGAUGCGUCUUUCAGACACGUAACUGUCAAAUUUUCUUUCGUAUAUCAGAAUGUAAAGGUU